This 68-nucleotide transfer RNA is filed under the name Loxodonta africana (African savanna elephant). The stretch from base 11 to 68 matches the Rfam family "tRNA". Rfam says of the family: Transfer RNA (tRNA) molecules are approximately 80 nucleotides in length. Their secondary structure includes four short double-helical elements and three loops (D, anti-codon, and T loops). Further hydrogen bonds mediate the characteristic L-shaped molecular structure. tRNAs have two regions of fundamental functional importance: the anti-codon, which is responsible for specific mRNA codon recognition, and the 3' end, to which the tRNAs corresponding amino acid is attached (by aminoacyl-tRNA synthetases). tRNAs cope with the degeneracy of the genetic code in two manners: having more than one tRNA (with a specific anti-codon) for a particular amino acid; and 'wobble' base-pairing, i.e. permitting non-standard base-pairing at the 3rd anti-codon position. Lineage: Eukaryota; Metazoa; Chordata; Mammalia; Proboscidea; Elephantidae. The record is from Rfam by way of RNAcentral.
GUGGUGGCACAGUGGUUAAGAGCUUGGCUGUCAACCAAAAGGUUGGUAGUUCGAAUCUACCAGCCACU